ACUUGUUUAACUUCCUUUUUAAUUCCUAAAGAAUAUAAAACUGCUGAGGAUUCAAGAUGGCGCUGUGAGAACAACCCAGGAUUGGAGCUCUUCUCGUUGAAUCUGCAAAUGUCUCUUUUCCCCACUACUACCAUGCGGGUGUAGAAAAUUAUAAUGCCCUAAGAAAUGGCAGAGUUUCAAGAGGGAAAGAUGCUGCAUCUCUAACUCAUGGUGUGGAUGAAUGCCAUCAUGCAGAAACACCCCUAUUGCACUGUCAUGUUAACAAGGAGAGCUGGAGCAAAUGAAAUCCAAGAUGAAAGAAUGAAGAGGAAUAAAGGUUUGGAUUGCAAGGCACUGCCUGAAGUUGCAUACCAGCUGAGCUCCACUCUGAGGAACUUAAGGAGGGGGAAUUAAUGAAAGUGAAGCGAUCAAGAAUGCUGAACAUAAAUCUCACCUACUACACUAUUUUGCUUGCACUCAGUUCGACUUCCCAGGCUUCUCUAAUUUGUUCCUCAGACACUCUGGUCAAAUAAAUCAUUAUUCCACCAGUGAUGAUAACUGUUCCAAAAAGCAAACUAUCAGACACCACCCAUUCAAUCCUCUAGCUUUGAAAUGUGCCAGAAUAUUCUUGGCCUGUGCUUGGAUGAAUAAAUGGAUGGGGAGAAUUAAGCACUGCUGACUAGAAAAUGAUUUUUAAACACAGCCAAGGAGGCAUCAUUUUCUUUUUAUUCAGGAGGUCAUUCAAAGAAGACAGAAAGACAAGCGGAUUAUCUUUCUCCUAAAUGGAAUGCAGAAGUGGUGUUUUUAAAAUAGAGAAUCCAUUAAUGCUGCAUAAUAUAAAAUGUAUACAAUGUAUUUAUUCUGGGUAUUAAAUUAAAAUAUUAGAUGUACACAACUGAGAUAUUUUCUGUCAUAGUUUAAAGUUUAUCUGGAUUAUAGUUUAAGAAUGCUAUGGGACAUCUAAAGAAUUUUUGGGUGAAAUGUUAAAUUAAUCAUUUUGAGUAUUUCUUCUAAAUUAGAUUUGGUUAUUUAAUUUCCAAAUUAUAUAUUCAUAAGAAUGUUUUUAGAGUUCUAAUUUAUGUAUUUCUAGCUUGGUUUUCUUUGGAAUAAGCUUUCAUGAAAUAUAUUCUCAGAUAUUAAAUUAUUAUUCUAUUAUUCUC
This 1139-nucleotide long non-coding RNA is filed under the name Callithrix jacchus (white-tufted-ear marmoset). RNAcentral's name for it is "lncRNA (ENSCJAG00000074102.1)". Lineage: Eukaryota; Metazoa; Chordata; Mammalia; Primates; Cebidae. The record is from RNAcentral.